RNAcentral lists this ribosomal RNA (240 nucleotides) under Triticum aestivum (bread wheat). Its description in RNAcentral is "partial small subunit ribosomal RNA". Lineage: Eukaryota; Viridiplantae; Streptophyta; Magnoliopsida; Poales; Poaceae. The record is from RNAcentral.
AUGAGGGGGCUCAAGGUGCCAAGCCUACUAUGCUUGCUACUGCUCAUACCGCUCUUGCUUCCUGGCUCUGAAGCCGACACAUGCAGUCGGUUCAGCAGGACCUAUAUUGUUAAGCCUCCCGAAUGCAACCAUGAUCCAUGUGCCAAGGCCUGCCAAAAGGAGGGAUUUACCGAAGGGGUCUGUGAAAUCAUUCGUGCCACACCUAUUUUUAUGCGUUGUCUCUGCAAGAAAGAGUGCUAA